GGUGGAGUGGCCGAGCGGCGAGGCAGCGGCUUGCAGGGCCGCGUACAUAGGUUCGAUUCCUGUCUCCACCUCCU
Molecule: transfer RNA, 74 nt
Filed under: Kitasatospora sp. CB02891
Lineage: Bacteria; Bacillati; Actinomycetota; Actinomycetes; Kitasatosporales; Streptomycetaceae
Description: tRNA-Cys
Rfam family: tRNA
About the family: Transfer RNA (tRNA) molecules are approximately 80 nucleotides in length. Their secondary structure includes four short double-helical elements and three loops (D, anti-codon, and T loops). Further hydrogen bonds mediate the characteristic L-shaped molecular structure. tRNAs have two regions of fundamental functional importance: the anti-codon, which is responsible for specific mRNA codon recognition, and the 3' end, to which the tRNAs corresponding amino acid is attached (by aminoacyl-tRNA synthetases). tRNAs cope with the degeneracy of the genetic code in two manners: having more than one tRNA (with a specific anti-codon) for a particular amino acid; and 'wobble' base-pairing, i.e. permitting non-standard base-pairing at the 3rd anti-codon position.
Source: RNAcentral